GACGAACGCUGGCGGCGUGCUUAACACAUGCAAGUCGAGCGGUAAGGCUCCUUCGGGAGUACACGAGCGGCGAACGGGUGAGUAACACGUGAGCAAUCUGCCCUUCACUUCGGGAUAACUCCGGGAAACCGGUGCUAAUACCGAAUACGACCACUUCAGGCAUCUGAUGGUGGUGGAAAGUUCCGGCGGUGAAGGAUGAGCUCGCGGCCUAUCAGCUUGUUGGUGAGGUAAGGCCCACCAAGGCAACGACGGGUAGCCGGCCUGAGAGGGUGACCGGCCACACUGGGACUGAGACACGGCCCAGACUCCUACGGGAGGCAGGCAGUGGGGAAUAUUGGACAAUGGGCGAAAGCCUGAUCCAGCAACGCCGCGUGA
RNAcentral lists this ribosomal RNA (375 nucleotides) under uncultured bacterium. RNAcentral describes it as "bacterial SSU rRNA". It matches the Rfam family "Bacterial small subunit ribosomal RNA", at positions 28 to 404 of the family's 1533-position model. The record is from RNAcentral.